GUGAACGCUGGCGGUAGGCCUAACACAUGCAAGUCGAACGGCAGCACAGUAAGAGCUUGCUCUUACGGGUGGCGAGUGGCGGACGGGUGAGGAAUACAUCGGAAUCUACUUUUUCGUGGGGGAUAACGUAGGGAAACUUACGCUAAUACCGCAUACGACCUACGGGUGAAAGCAGGGGAUCUUCGGACCUUGCGCGAUUGAAUGAGCCGAUGUCGGAUUAGCUAGUUGGCGGGGUAAAGGCCCACCAAGGCGACGAUCCGUAGCUGGUCUGAGAGGAUGAUCAGCCACACUGGAACUGAGACACGGUCCAGACUCCUACGGGAGGCAGCAGUGGGGAAUAUUGGACAAUGGGCGAAAGCCUGAUCCAGCCAUACCGCGUGGGUGAAGAAGGCCUUCGGGUUGUAAAGCCCUUUUGUUGGGAAAGAAAAGCAGCAGGUUAAUACCCCGCUGUUCUGACGGUACCCAAAGAAUAAGCACCGGCUAACUUCGUG
Molecule: ribosomal RNA, 491 nt
Filed under: uncultured bacterium
Lineage: Bacteria
Description: partial 16S ribosomal RNA
Rfam family: Bacterial small subunit ribosomal RNA
Source: RNAcentral